Molecule: ribosomal RNA, 253 nt
Filed under: uncultured bacterium
Lineage: Bacteria
Description: partial 16S ribosomal RNA
Rfam family: Bacterial small subunit ribosomal RNA
Source: RNAcentral
GACGAAGGAUGCAAGCGUUAUCCGGAUUCAUUGGGUUUAAAGGGUGCGUAGGCGGCCUAUUAAGUCAGUGGUGAAAUAUUUCAGCUCAACUGGAAUUGUGCCAUUGAUACUGAUGGGCUUGAGUACAGAUGAGGUAGGCGGAAUUGACGGUGUAGCGGUGAAAUGCUUAGAUAUCGUCAAGAACACCUAUAGCGAAGGCAGCUUACUAGGCUGUAACUGACGCUGAGGCACGAAAGUGUGGGGAUCAAACAGG